AUGCAUCAUGCAUCCUUGUUCAUUACCGCAUUUUGCCACUUGGAGUUCAACAUUAUCAAUAAUUGCUGCCAAUGGUUUGCCAGUAUCCCCUGAGCUUGAGAAGGCGCAACCGAGCAAGGAAGAACUUUCAGCCCUUGAAUUCAAAUUGUCCCUGUACUGAUGAUAAUAAGAGUGAUCGAAACAAGAGCAUGAUGACAAGGUGUAUAUGUCUGGACUCUGGACUCUAGACCAUUUGAGAUUGCUAAUAUGUACCACUGAUGAGGGGAACGAUGGUUUUCCUGUUGUGUAUAUGUAGAAGUAAGAGCAGAUGAAUACCAGGGGCCAAAAAUUAUAAGACAGAGUGAGAAUAUCUCUUACUGGUGGGAAUGAAAUAUUCCAAGACCACAAAACUUGGUGAGUGCACGCACCACUGAAAAAAAAAAGGGGCUUAAUGUGAAGACCUUUUGCCUUUUCAUUCUUCCCCUUUUUAUGUUGCUUAAGGGGAAAAGAGUCAACAACUUCUCAGCUUUUUCCUGCUAAUGAAGAAACAUGAAGCAAAGUGGAUAUCCAUAUUUUGAAGUAAACAUUUGUCAUCUCUCUUGCUUGUGGUAAAUCUUAUAUGAAAUAAUUAUGCAAGUGUGAUGUGGAAAAUGUUUGAAUUGAUGCUUCGCAUUUGGUCCA
Telopea speciosissima is the source of this 660-nucleotide long non-coding RNA. RefSeq lists it as uncharacterized. The record is from RefSeq and is a predicted model, not a curated record. The transcript is spliced from 2 exons. Lineage: Eukaryota; Viridiplantae; Streptophyta; Magnoliopsida; Proteales; Proteaceae.